GUAUCGGACAGGAACUGCACCUGCGUUAUCUCCUAGGAAUUUCUUCUUUGCCGUCUUCCUCUUAUCGGCGUGCAUCUGGCGACAUUCUGACAGGUUACCUGCAGAGUUCCUAGACUGGGCUGGCUUCGGUGGAAGUGCAGAUUCUGACUGUGGAGAGGAACCUUUGCUAAGCAAGGUUCAACAGAGGCCACGAGAUGUGUUAGAGGCAGAGUCAUUGGACAAUAAAUUUGCAGGCAUUGAAGAGAAAAACCAAUUCUCCCUUGAAGAGUUUCUGAAAACUAAAGCAAAACUCAUCAGAAUAGAAGACACCAGCAGCAUAAUUUAUUCAGAGGAAGCCACCAGGUGCUAACUGAGAUUUGAAAAUAAAUCCCUACCUUUGAAACGUCAGGCACGGCUCGGAAUAUAAGCAAGACUUUCCUAGGACCUGAAACGGACUUCAACCUGCUGUUAAAGAAUUAUUUAAAGAAUAACAGACCAGGCACUGUGGGUCACUCCUGUAAUUCCAGCACUUUGGGAGGCUGAAGCUGUAGAUCACUUGAGGAGUUCGAGACCAGCCUGGCCAACAUGGUGAAACCCCAUCUCUACCAAAAAUACAAAAAUUAGCCCAGCGUGGUGGUGUGUGCCUGUAAUCCCAGCUACUCAGGAGGCUGAGGCAGAAGAAUUGCUUGAACCCAGGAGCCAGAGGCUGCAGUAAGCCGAGAUCGCGCCACUGCGCUCCAGCCUGGGUG
Long non-coding RNA from Pongo pygmaeus (Bornean orangutan), 728 nucleotides. RefSeq lists it as uncharacterized. The transcript has 3 exons. NCBI's taxonomy places the organism in Eukaryota, Metazoa, Chordata, Mammalia, Primates, Hominidae. The record is from RefSeq and is a predicted model, not a curated record.